UACGUAGGGUGCAAGCGUUGUCCGGAAUUAUUGGGCGUAAAGCGUGCGCAGGCGGUCUGUUAAGACCGAUGUGAAAUCCCCGGGCUUAACCUGGGAACUGCAUUGGUGACUGGCAGGCUUUGAGUGUGGCAGAGGGAGGUAGAAUUCCACGUGUAGCAGUGAAAUGCGUAGAGAUGUGGAGGAAUACCGAUGGCGAAGGCAGCCUCCUGGGCCAACACUGACGCUCAUGCACGAAAGCGUGGGGAGCAAACAGG
Molecule: ribosomal RNA, 254 nt
Filed under: uncultured bacterium
Lineage: Bacteria
Description: partial 16S ribosomal RNA
Rfam family: Bacterial small subunit ribosomal RNA
Source: RNAcentral